Molecule: ribosomal RNA, 254 nt
Filed under: uncultured bacterium
Lineage: Bacteria
Description: partial 16S ribosomal RNA
Rfam family: Bacterial small subunit ribosomal RNA
Source: RNAcentral
GACAGAGGGUGCAAGCGUUGUUCGGAAUCAUUGGGCGUAAAGGGCGCGUAGGUGGCUUGGCAAGCGUGUGGUGAAAGCCCGGGGCUCAACCCCGGGUCUGCCGUGCGAACUGCUAUGGCUUGAGCACUGUAGAGGCAGGUAGAAUUCCGGGUGUAGCGGUGAAAUGCGUAGAUAUCUGGAGGAACACCGGUGGCGAAGGCGGCAUCCUGGACCGAGAUCGACGCUGAGGCGCGAAAGCUAGGGGAGCAAACGGG